This 247-nucleotide ribosomal RNA is filed under the name uncultured bacterium. Its description in RNAcentral is "partial 16S ribosomal RNA". It matches the Rfam family "Bacterial small subunit ribosomal RNA", at positions 109 to 370 of the family's 1533-position model. The record is from RNAcentral.
AGGAAAACGUAGUAACCAACCCUUUAGACUGGGAUAGCCACUGGAAACGGUGGGUAAUACCGGAUAAGCUCGAGAGAGGAAAGGCAGAGAAGCGCUAAAGGACGGAACUGCGCCCCAUCAGAUAGUUGGUGAGGUAAAGGCUUACCAAGGCGACGACGGGUAGCCGGUCUGAGAGGAUGUACGGCCACACUGGGACUGAGAUACGGCCCAGACUCCUACGGGAGGCAGCAGUUGGGAAUCUUAGGCA